RNAcentral lists this ribosomal RNA (372 nucleotides) under uncultured organism. RNAcentral's name for it is "bacterial SSU rRNA". It matches the Rfam family "Bacterial small subunit ribosomal RNA", at positions 526 to 896 of the family's 1533-position model. The record is from RNAcentral.
CGUAGGGUGCGAGCGUUAAUCGGAAUUACUGGGCGUAAAGCGUGCGCAGGCGGUUUUGUAAGACAGGCGUGAAAUCCCCCGGGCUCAACCUGGGAACUGCGCUUGUGACUGCAAGGCUAGAGUACGGCAGAGGGGGUGGAAUUCCACGUGUAGCAGUGAAAUGCGUAGAGAUGUGGAGGAACACCAAUGGCGAAGGCAGCCCCCUGGGUCGAUACUGACGCUCAUGCACGAAAGCGUGGGUAGCAAACAGGAUUAGAUACCCUGGUAGUCCACGCCCUAAACGAUGUCAACUAGGUGUUGGGUGGGUAAAACCAUUUAGUACCGGAGCUAACGCGUGAAGUUGACCGCCUGGGGAGUACGGCCGCAAGGUUA